Molecule: ribosomal RNA, 471 nt
Filed under: uncultured bacterium
Lineage: Bacteria
Description: bacterial SSU rRNA
Rfam family: Bacterial small subunit ribosomal RNA
Source: RNAcentral
GAGUUUGAUCCUGGCUCAGAGCGAACGCUGGCGGCAGGCUUAACACAUGCAAGUCGAGCGGAUGUAGCAAUACAUCAGCGGCAGACGGGAUAGUAACACGUGGGAACGCGCCCUUUGGUUAGGAAUAACUCAGGGAAACUUGAGCUAAUACCGGAUAAGCCCUUACGGGGAAAGAUUUAUCGCCAAAGGAACGGCCCGCGUCAGAUUAGCUAGUUGGUGAGGUAAUGGCUCACCAAGGCGACGAUCGGUAGCUGGUCUGAGAGGAUGACCAGCAUCACUGGGACUGAGACACGGCCCAGACUCCUACGGGAGGCAGCAGUGGGGAAUAUUGGACAAUGGGCGAAAGCCUGAUCCAGCCAUGCCGCGUGGAUGAUGAAGGCCCUAGGGUUGUAAAGUCCUUUUAACGGGGAAGAUAAUGACGGUACCCGUAGAAUAAGCCCCGGCUAACUUCGUGCCAGCCGCCGCGGUAAG